Molecule: ribosomal RNA, 613 nt
Filed under: uncultured bacterium
Lineage: Bacteria
Description: bacterial SSU rRNA
Rfam family: Bacterial small subunit ribosomal RNA
Source: RNAcentral
GUACGAUCGCAAGGUUGAAACUCAAAGGAAUUGACGGGGGCCCGCACAAGCGGUGGAGCAUGUGGUUUAAUUCGACGCAACGCGAAGAACCUUACCUGGGCUUGACAUCCCGAGAACCCUGUAGAAACACAGGGGUGCCCCUUCGGGGGAACUUGGUGACAGGUGCUGCAUGGCUGUCGUCAGCUCGUGUCGUGAGAUGUUGGGUUAAGUCCCGCAACGAGCGCAACCCUUGCCUUUAGUUGCCAUCAUUCAGUUGGGCACUCUAAAGGGACUGCCGGUGUCAAGCCGGAGGAAGGUGGGGAUGACGUCAAGUCCUCAUGGCCUUUAUGCCCAGGGCUACACACGUGCUACAAUGGCCGGUACAAAGGGCAGCGAACUUGUGAGAGUAAGCAAAUCCCAGAAAAUCGGUCUCAGUUCGGAUCGGAGUCUGCAACUCGACUUCGUGAAGGUGGAAUCGCUAGUAAUCCCGGAUCAGCAUGCCGGGGUGAAUACGUUCCCGGGCCUUGUACACACCGCCCGUCACACCACGAAAGCUGGUUGUACCAGAAGUCGUCGAGCCAACCUCGUUUCGGCGAGGAGGCAGGCGCCCAAGGUAUGGUUAGUGAUUGGGGUG